This 253-nucleotide ribosomal RNA is filed under the name uncultured bacterium. RNAcentral's name for it is "partial 16S ribosomal RNA". It matches the Rfam family "Bacterial small subunit ribosomal RNA", at positions 524 to 776 of the family's 1533-position model. The record is from RNAcentral.
UACGUAGGUGGCAAGCGUUGUCCGGAUUUACUGGGCGUAAAGAGCGGGCAGGCGGUCGUGCAAGUCGCGUGUGAAAGCCCCCGGCUCAACUGGGGAGGGUCACGCGAUACUGCUCGACUCGAAGGCAGGAGAGGGAAGUGGAAUUCCCGGUGUAGUGGUGAAAUGCGUAGAUAUCGGGAGGAACACCAGUGGCGAAGGCGACUUCCUGGCCUGUUCUUGACGCUGAGGCGCGAAAGCUAGGGUAGCAAACGGG